RNAcentral lists this ribosomal RNA (460 nucleotides) under uncultured bacterium. RNAcentral's name for it is "partial 16S ribosomal RNA". It matches the Rfam family "Bacterial small subunit ribosomal RNA", at positions 338 to 795 of the family's 1533-position model. The record is from RNAcentral.
CCUACGGUGGGCAGCAGUGAGGAAUAUUGGUCAAUGGACGAGAGUCUGAACCAGCCAAGUAGCGUGAAGGAUGACUGCCCUAUGGGUUGUAAACUUCUUUUAUAAAGGAAUAAGACUAGGCACGUGUGCCUUUUUGCAUGUCCUUUAUGACUAAGGAUCGGCUCAAGCCGUGCCAGCAGCCGCGGUACUACGGAGGAUCCGAGCGUUAUCCGGAUUUAUUGGGUUUAAAGGGAGCGUAGAUGGGUUGUUAAGUCAGUUGUGAAAGUUUGCGGAUCAACCGUAAAAUUGCAAUUGAUACUGGCAGUCUUGAGUAAAGUUGAGGUAGGCGGAAUUCGUGGUGUAGCGGUGAAAUGCUUAGAUAUCACGAAGAACCCCGAUUGCGAAGGCAGCUUACUAAACUGUGACUGACAUUGAUGCUCGAAAGUGUGGGUAUCAAACAGGAUUAGAUACCCCUGUAGUC